CGGCUUCCUACGGGAGGCAGCAGCCGAGAAUAUUUGUCAAUGGGCGAAAGCCUGAACGAGCGACGCCGCGUGGAGGAUGACGGUCUUCGGAUUGUAAACUCCUGUUAAACGGGAAGAAAGACUUGUUUCUAAUACAGACAAGUUAUGACGGUACUGUUAGAGAAAGCACCGGCUAACUUCGUGCCAGCAGCCGCGGUAAUACGAGGGGUGCAAGCGUUAUUCGGAUUGAUUGGGUGUAAAGGGUGUGCAGACGGCUUACUAAGUCACUUGUUAAGUUCCUCGGCCUAACUGAGGAUCUGCAGGUGAUACUGGAAAGCUAGAGGAUGUUAGAGGCAGAUGGAACAGCCGGUGUAGGGGUGAAAUCCGUUGAUAUCGGCUGGAACACCAAAGGCGAAGGCAGUCUGCUGGGACAUUCCUGACUCUGAGUCGCGAAAGCGUGGGGAGCAAAAAGGAUUAGAUACCCCGGUAGUCCAAGCCG
RNAcentral lists this ribosomal RNA (478 nucleotides) under uncultured bacterium. RNAcentral's name for it is "bacterial SSU rRNA". It matches the Rfam family "Bacterial small subunit ribosomal RNA", at positions 332 to 802 of the family's 1533-position model. The record is from RNAcentral.